GGGCACAGUAUUUUCAUUUGAAGGAGAGGCGGAGUACGAGAAAGUAUUGAGCUUGUAGAGGGUUAGACGGGAUAUUGCUUAUAAUGGCUUUCAAGCCAUCGGAUUGGUAUUGCCAGCCAGUGGCAAAUGGUGUGUGGUCAAAGGCUGUGGAAAAUGCCUUUGGAGCUUAUACCCCAUGUGGAACAAACACCCUGGUUAUAUCUGUUUCUUAUCUAGUCCUUUUGGCCUUGUGCUUAAACA
This 240-nucleotide unclassified non-coding RNA is filed under the name Hevea brasiliensis (rubber tree). The record is from RNAcentral. Lineage: Eukaryota; Viridiplantae; Streptophyta; Magnoliopsida; Malpighiales; Euphorbiaceae.